UUCUUCCCUGUACCGCGAAGGGUUAAUCUCAGUGAGCGUUGCACUCCUAGACGGGCUCUCCAGGAAAAAAAAAGGACACCAUGCAUUUCUGUCUGGAGGCACUUCCGACCAGCUGGGCAUCUUUCUUUGUCUUUGCCACCCCUCCCCCCUUCCCCUUUUUUCCUCUUUUUUUCUAUUUUUUAAAAAUCCUGACCAAGAAGGUUUUGCAGCAUUUGGAGGAGUGGAUGAUGGGAAGCACCUCCUGAGCAACAGUAUAUGUUUGAUCUUAUUCUUAAGUAUCUGCUUCUUUGGAGGCUGUAAUCAUGGACUGCAGUGGCUCAAAGCAGGAGUCGUUAAUUUUGUGGGACAUGCAGGAGGACCGCUGUAUCUGCGGGAUCAGUAUACGCUGAUUCACUUAUCCGCGGUCUGAAAAUAUUUUAAUUGUUACAAGACAAUUAAAUAUUUUUAUUGUUACAAGACAAAGCCUAGAAACAUAUUUUGUUAAAGGUGAAGUAACCAGAACUGACCACUCUCGGGAUCCAGAGACCAUGCUUUGUAUACCAUUUAAGUGGUCACUAUCAUCCAUAUUUUUUCAGUAUCCACGGGAAAGUGGGCUUGGAACUGGUCCCCUGCAGAUAGGUACAGGGGCCCUACUAUAUAUGUAGCACGCUGUUCUUAGCCUGAGAGAACAUUGCAAAGAGAGGAAAACAAGGUAUUUUGGGCCCAGAUUUCAGUUCGGAGAAAGUUGUAGGAAAGAAAACAGAAGAUUGAAAUCUAGCUGGCUGCGAAGCAGUAGAAACAUUGGGAGAAAGUAUUCCAGCCUGCAGGGCAUUCAAGGGGAGAACUAUACCAAAGAUUAUGAACAAGGACAUUAUAGAUUCAUACCCCCGAAUGCUAGCACUUCAGGCGAUUCUGCUAGACAGAGGCUGAAGGGCCCCACAAGGUUUACAGCCGACUCUGGGAUGGUUGCUGUCAGUGGCUGAAGCUGGAGAAGCACACGAAGGAUUGUGAUCCUGGUGAGCUGGUGAUCCUGGAACAGUUUCUAACC
This 1027-nucleotide long non-coding RNA is filed under the name Pogona vitticeps (central bearded dragon). Its description in RNAcentral is "lncRNA (ENSPVIG00000003690.1)". Lineage: Eukaryota; Metazoa; Chordata; Lepidosauria; Squamata; Agamidae. The record is from RNAcentral.